UUAAUUCGACGCAACGCGCAGUAACCUUACCUGGUCUUGACAUCUCGGGAAUCAUUUGGAAACAUAUGAGUGCCUCGCAAGAGGAGCCCGAUGACAGGUGCUGCAUGGCUGUCGUCAGCUCGUGUCGUGAGAUGUUGGGUUAAGUCCCGCAACGAGCACAACCCUUGUCCUUAGUUGCCAUCAUUAAGUUGGGCACUCUAAAGAGACUGCCGGUGUCAAACCGGAGGAAGGUGGGGAUGACGUCAAGUCCUCAUGGCCUUUAUGACCAGGGCUACACACGUACUACAAUGGCAGGUACAAAGGGCAGCCACUUAGCGAUAAGGAGCGAAUCCCGUAAAACCUGUCUCAGUCCGGAUUGGAGUCUGCAACUCGACUCCAUGAAGUUGGAAUCGCUAGUAAUCGUAGAUCAGCAUGCUGCGGUGAAUACGUUCCCGGGUCUU
RNAcentral lists this ribosomal RNA (440 nucleotides) under uncultured Desulfocapsa sp. RNAcentral describes it as "bacterial SSU rRNA". It matches the Rfam family "Bacterial small subunit ribosomal RNA", at positions 946 to 1382 of the family's 1533-position model. Lineage: Bacteria; Pseudomonadati; Thermodesulfobacteriota; Desulfobulbia; Desulfobulbales; Desulfocapsaceae. The record is from RNAcentral.